Coccomyxa sp. Obi is the source of this 73-nucleotide non-coding RNA. Lineage: Eukaryota; Viridiplantae; Chlorophyta; Trebouxiophyceae; Coccomyxaceae. The record is from the annotation of a GenBank genome assembly.
GCCCGUGUAGCUCAGCUGGUAGAGCGCUCGGCUCUUAAACGUGUGGUCGAGGGUUCAAACCCCUCCCCGGGCG